AUUUUUUUUUAAUUAAGUCUUAUUUGUUGAUAAAAUAAUUACCCAAAAAUCGUCAACUUCAAAAAAUUUAUAUAACUGCGGGAACAUUCAGACAAAUACAUUCACAUUCACAUAUCGCACCAUUCACAUAUAACUGCGGGAACAUUCAGACAAAUACAUUCACAUUCACAUAUCCACAUUCACGUGAAAAGUUAUUUUGACAAUUAAAAAGUUUUCUAACACCAUAUUUUAAUACAUUUAUUAAUGUAAUAGUAUUUUUUUCUUGAUAUAAUCAAAUUUAUUAUUUAAAAUCUUUAAAGAGUAUCUUUAAGACACACGUUAGAGUGCAUUUUUAUAAUAGAGUGUAUUUUUAUAGUGUUGAUGUACUUAAAGAGAAAUUUAAUUAUAAGUUUUUAUAUAACCACUUUACUAUGUAGGCUAAAGGGACAAUAACAACACAUUGAUUUACUUAAGAGACAUUUAGUAAUGAUUUUAAUUAGAACAAAAUUCAAAUGCAUGUGUAAGCAUAGGGCAAAGUCAAAAAUCAAGGGAUCACCAACUUAAGUUUCAAGUUAGAGUCUUAGGCUCUCUAAGUCACAAAUUCUCAACAAAAAUGGGCACUCACCUCACAAAAUCACUCAUUGUAGAAGAAUGUAAUUGAGUCUCACUAAAUUGUUUAUCAGCGAAUAAGUCCUGCUAUAGGGUUGACAAUAAACCUACUUUUCUACUAUUUCUCUUGUGGAAGCAAACAUGAAUAAAAAAAGCACUCUUUAAAGUGCUUCAUUUUCAUUAUACAUGCUUCACAAGAAAAUAGCUUCAAAAAGGUUACAAGUAAAAUUCUAGAGGAACANNN
RNAcentral lists this long non-coding RNA (832 nucleotides) under Medicago truncatula (barrel medic). RNAcentral describes it as "long non-coding RNA (MTRU_LNC001852)". The record is from RNAcentral. Lineage: Eukaryota; Viridiplantae; Streptophyta; Magnoliopsida; Fabales; Fabaceae.